RNAcentral lists this long non-coding RNA (481 nucleotides) under Homo sapiens (human). RNAcentral's name for it is "PPP1R14B antisense RNA 1, transcript variant 2 (PPP1R14B-AS1)". Lineage: Eukaryota; Metazoa; Chordata; Mammalia; Primates; Hominidae. The record is from RNAcentral.
GGUGGCCUAGCUGUCCGUACUCCCCAAACGCAACCUUCCAGUCCCAAACCCAGGCGUUCUAAGCGCUCAGGACGACGAUUUGCGCUCACGCCAGGACCCUAGUCUUCAUUGGACCCUUCCUCAUUCUGUCCUCAUUGAGGCCAUCUGAGAAUAGGGGCUAUCUGAGAAUGCAGGGGAGUGGACAUCGUGUGCAGACAGGGAGUCUGAUUGUGAGUGCCACGGGGCUGAGGCCUGCGCCGACCUGGUCUGCUGGUGCUACCAGGCUUGAACAGUCUUCAAAUCCACUGCUAUUAGGCAAAUUACCUGGCUCCCGCUGAACUCCAGCACCUAGAACUAUGUCACACUCGUAGUAGGCCGCUGCAUUGGUUGAACAAAUGAUUUUGAAAGAAUGAAUGUCUUCCUCUGUGCCUGCAUUUCCUCAGAAGGCUGUAACAAAGAUUAAAUAGGAAAAUUCGUGGAAAGUUCAAUAAAAAAAAAAAAA